RNAcentral lists this ribosomal RNA (802 nucleotides) under uncultured fungus. Its description in RNAcentral is "SSU rRNA". It matches the Rfam family "Eukaryotic small subunit ribosomal RNA", at positions 563 to 1370 of the family's 1831-position model. Lineage: Eukaryota; Fungi. The record is from RNAcentral.
GGUGCCAGCAGCCGCGGUAAUUCCAGCUCCAAUAGCGUAUAUUAAAAUUGUUGCCGUUAAAAAGCUCGUAGUCGAACUUCGGGCUCUGUCAGCCGGUCCGCCUUCUUGGUGUGUACUUGUUUGACGGAGCCUUACCUCCUGGUGAACGGCGAUGUCCUUUACUGGGUGUCGUCGCAAACCAGGACUUUUACUUUGAAAAAAUUAGAGUGUUCAAAGCAGGCCUUUGCCCGAAUACAUUAGCAUGGAAUAAUAAAAUAGGACGCGCGUUCCCAUUUUGUUGGUUUCUGAGAUCGCCGUAAUGAUUAAUAGGGAUAGUUGGGGGCAUUUGUAUUCCGUCGUCAGAGGUGAAAUUCUUGGAUUGCCGGAAGACAAACUACUGCGAAAGCAUUUGCCAAGGAUGUUUUCAUUGAUCAAGAACGAAGGAAGGGGGAUCGAAAACGAUUAGAUACCGUUGUAGUCUCUUCUGUAAACUAUGCCAAUUGGGGAUCGGUACAGGAUUUUUAAUGACUGUAUCGGCACCCGAAGAGAAAUCUUUAAAUGAGGUUCGGGGGGGAGUAUGGUCGCAAGGCUGAAACUUAAAGGAAUUGACGGAAGGGCACCACCAGGUGUGGAGCCUGCGGCUUAAUUUGACUCAACACGGGGAAACUCACCAGGUCCAGACACAAUAAGGAUUGACAGAUUGAUAGCUCUUUCUUGAUCUUGUGGUUGGUGGUGCAUGGCCGUUCUUAGUUGGUGGAGUGAUUUGUCUGGUUAAUUCCGAUAACGAACGAGACCUUAACCUGCUAAAUAGACCAGCCGGCUU